GUCUAUAGCCAUGCCACCCUGAACAAGCCCGAUCCCGUCUGAUCUCGGAAGCUAAGCAGGGGCAGGCCUGGUUAGUACUUGGAUGGGAGGCCACCUAGGAAGACCAGGUGCUGUAGGUG
This 119-nucleotide ribosomal RNA is filed under the name Pteropus alecto (black flying fox). Lineage: Eukaryota; Metazoa; Chordata; Mammalia; Chiroptera; Pteropodidae. The record is from RNAcentral.